RNAcentral lists this ribosomal RNA (460 nucleotides) under uncultured bacterium. RNAcentral describes it as "partial 16S ribosomal RNA". It matches the Rfam family "Bacterial small subunit ribosomal RNA", at positions 338 to 795 of the family's 1533-position model. The record is from RNAcentral.
CCUACGGGUGGCUGCAGUGAGGAAUAUUGGUCAAUGGGCGUAAGCCUGAACCAGCCAAGUCGCGUGAGGGAUGAAGGUCCUAUGGAUCGUAAACCUCUUUUAUAGGGGAGUAAAGGGCGGGACGUGUCCCGUCAUGUAUGUACCGUAUGAAAAAGGAUCGGCUAACUCCGCUCCAGCCGCCGCGGUAAUACGGGGGAUCCGAGCGUUAUCCGGAUUGGUUGGGUUUAAAGGGUGCGUAGGCGGUCUUUUGAGUCAGCGGUGAAAGUCUGUGGCUCAACCAUAGAAUUGCCUUUGAAACUGGGAGACUUGAGUGUGGUAGAGGCAGGUGGAAUGCGUGGGGUAGCGGGGAAAUGCGUAGAUAUCACGCAGAACCCCGAUUGCGAAGGCAGCCUGCCGGGCCAUGACUGACGCUGAUGUACGAAAGCGUGGGGAGCAAACAGGAUUAGAUACCCGAGUAGUC